This 305-nucleotide long non-coding RNA is filed under the name Gallus gallus (chicken). Its description in RNAcentral is "lncRNA (ENSGALG00010020793.1)". The record is from RNAcentral. Lineage: Eukaryota; Metazoa; Chordata; Aves; Galliformes; Phasianidae.
CGCACACCCAGGAGCAGCGGCACCCAGCGCCCACCAACGUGUGCCCCCAUCCCGCCACGGCUCCGCUCGGCUGCAGCAGCGCAGCGCUGGAAUCAGGAGCAGCGACAAUGAGCUCAGACGUCCCGGAGGACGUCAGCGACAUCCAUUGCCUCCUGACUUGGAUCAACAACGAAGCGAUGAGUCUUCGCGAGGUCCCCCAGCCCAGCAACGACCUGCUGUGGAGGCAGCCCGAGCCGGCCGAGUGCCCAGCGCCCGCCCGCACCACCACAGGGCACGAGCAGCGCACUGGCAGCAUCCAGGCCCCA